CAGUCGCCGCGGGAAUACGGAGGGUGCGAGCGUUAAUCGGAAUUACUGGGCGUAAAGCGUACGCAGGGGGUUUGUUAAGUCAGAUGUGAAAUCCCCGAGCUUAACUUGGGAACUGCAUUUGAAACUGGCAGGCUAGAGUCUCGUAGAGGGGGGUAGAAUUCCAGGUGUAGCGGUGAAAUGCGUAGAGAUCUGGAGGAAUACCGGUGGCGAAGGCGGCCCCCUGGACGAAGACUGACGCUCAGGUACGAAAGCGUGGGGAGCAAACAGGAUUAGAUACCCCUGUAGUCCCUGUCUCUUAUAA
Molecule: ribosomal RNA, 301 nt
Filed under: uncultured bacterium
Lineage: Bacteria
Description: partial 16S ribosomal RNA
Rfam family: Bacterial small subunit ribosomal RNA
Source: RNAcentral